AGAGUUUGAUCAUGGCUCAGAGCGAACGCUGGCGGCGUACUUAACACAUGCAAGUCGAACGGGGAUCAUCGGUGUAGCAAUACAUCGGCGGUCCUAGUGGCGCACGGGUGAGUAACACGUGGGUAACCUGCCCUUGAGUUCGGGAUACCCCCUCGAAAGGGGGGCUAAUACCGGAUACGUUCCUCGGAUCGACAGGUCUGGGGAGGAAAGGUGGCGCAAGCUGCCGCUCUUGGAGGGGCUCGCGGCCUAUCAGCUAGUUGGCGGGGUAACGGCCCACCAAGGCUAUGACGGGUAGCUGGUCUGAGAGGACGACCAGCCACACGGGGACUGAGACACGGCCCCGACUCCUACGGGAGGCAGCAGUGGGGAAUUUUCCGCAAUGGGCGAAAGCCUGACGGAGUGACGCCGCGUGUGGGACGAAGGCCUUCGGGUCGUAAACCACUGUCAGUGGGAAAGAAGGGUGUCGACGCUAAUACCGUCGGCAUCUGACGGUACCUGCAGAGGAAGCCCCGGCCAACUCUGUGCCAGCAGCCGCGGUAAGACAGAGGGGGCAAGCGUUGCUCGGAAUUACUGGGCGUAAAGGGCGCGUAGGCGGGAUGGCAAGUCGGUCGUGAAAUCCUUCGGCUCAACCGAAGAACGUCGAUCGAUACUGCUGUUCUUGAGGAUUGCAGAGGAGACUGGAAUUCCCGGUGUAGCGGUGAAAUGUGUAGAGAUCGGGAGGAACACCGGUGGCGAAGGCGGGUCUCUGGGCAAUUCCUGACGCUGAGGCGCGAAAGCGUGGGGAGCAAACGGGAUUAGAUACCCUAGUAGUCC
This 813-nucleotide ribosomal RNA is filed under the name uncultured bacterium. RNAcentral describes it as "bacterial SSU rRNA". It matches the Rfam family "Bacterial small subunit ribosomal RNA", at positions 8 to 796 of the family's 1533-position model. The record is from RNAcentral.